This 240-nucleotide unclassified non-coding RNA is filed under the name soil metagenome. Its description in RNAcentral is "partial contains 5.8S ribosomal RNA, internal transcribed spacer 2, and large subunit ribosomal RNA". The record is from RNAcentral.
AACGCACGAGACCUGCGGACCUGCGGAGGGAUCAUUACCGAGUUCUCGCCCCUCGCGGGGUAGACCUCCCACCCACUGUGAUCACUACCGUCGUUGCUUUGGCGGGCCGCUGGGCCCAGCCCACCGCCGGCCCCGGCUGGCGCGUGCCCGCCAGAGGCCCUACAAACGCUGGAUAUUAGUGCCGUCUGAGUACACAUGUUAAUCGUUAAAACUUUCAGCAACGGAUCUCUAGAUCGGAAG